GAUCCCUUAGCUCAGCGGUAGAGCGUCUGAUUCCAGUUAACGGGCAAUGUACAUUCCUUACUGGCUUCCAGAAGGUCAUCCGUUCAAUCCGGGUAGGGGUCA
Transfer RNA from Moniliophthora roreri MCA 2997, 102 nucleotides. It matches the Rfam family "tRNA". From Rfam's summary of the family: Transfer RNA (tRNA) molecules are approximately 80 nucleotides in length. Their secondary structure includes four short double-helical elements and three loops (D, anti-codon, and T loops). NCBI's taxonomy places the organism in Eukaryota, Fungi, Basidiomycota, Agaricomycetes, Agaricales, Marasmiaceae. The record is from Rfam.